GAGAUUUUAAGUUAAAGAAACUAUUAAUUUUCAAAAUUAAAAAUGAAUAAUCAAAUUAUAUCUCA
This 65-nucleotide transfer RNA is filed under the name Neohydatothrips samayunkur. RNAcentral describes it as "tRNA-Trp". Lineage: Eukaryota; Metazoa; Arthropoda; Insecta; Thysanoptera; Thripidae. The record is from RNAcentral.